UCCCUGGUGGCUCCAAUGGUAAAGCAUCUGCCUGCAGUGCAGGAGACCUGGGUUCAAUCCCUGGGUUGGGAA
Bos taurus (domestic cattle) is the source of this 72-nucleotide non-coding RNA. NCBI's taxonomy places the organism in Eukaryota, Metazoa, Chordata, Mammalia, Artiodactyla, Bovidae. The record is from Rfam.